This 643-nucleotide ribosomal RNA is filed under the name uncultured bacterium. RNAcentral's name for it is "bacterial SSU rRNA". It matches the Rfam family "Bacterial small subunit ribosomal RNA", at positions 232 to 885 of the family's 1533-position model. The record is from RNAcentral.
CGCGGCCUAUCAGCUUGUUGGUGGGGUGAUGGCCUACCAAGGCGACGACGGGUAGCCGGCCUGAGAGGGUGUCCGGCCACACUGGGACUGAGAUACGGCCCAGACUCCUACGGGAGGCAGCAGUGGGGAAUAUUGCACAAUGGGCGCAAGCCUGAUGCAGCGACGCCGCGUGGGGGAUGACGGCCUUCGGGUUGUAAACCCCUUUCAGCACAGACGAAGCGCAAGUGACGGUAUGUGCAGAAGAAGCACCGGCCAACUACGUGCCAGCAGCCGCGGUAAUACGUAGGGUGCGAGCGUUGUCCGGAAUUACUGGGCGUAAAGAGCUCGUAGGUGGUUUGUCGCGUUGUUCGUGAAAACUCACAGCUCAACUGUGGGCGUGCGGGCGAUACGGGCAGACUGGAGUACUGCAGGGGAGACUGGAAUUCCUGGUGUAGCGGUGGAAUGCGCAGAUAUCAGGAGGAACACCGGUGGCGAAGGCGGGUCUCUGGGCAGUAACUGACGCUGAGGAGCGAAAGCGUGGGGAGCGAACAGGAUUAGAUACCCUGGUAGUCCGCGCCGUAAACGGCGGGUACUAGGUGUGGGUUUCCUUCCUUGGGAUCCGUGCCGUAGCUAACGCAUUAAGUACCCCGCCUGGGGAGUACGG